UGAGAGAGGUGAAGAUUGAUUUUAUAGAGUGAUGAGAGUUAGGAAAAAUUCUCUUAUUUUUGUGAGUUUAUGCAGGUUGUUAUUCUGUUAUUUGGUGCUUGGAUUCGGCUGGCGUGUGUUUAGCAUUUUGAAGCUUGAAGUGUUGGUUUGUGUACUUGCGUUUCGCGUUUUGCUUUGCGGUUUACCUGCUUGGAAGCGUUAGCUGCGUUUCAAUGUGAAUUUGCAAGUUGUUUGGCUU
RNAcentral lists this long non-coding RNA (238 nucleotides) under Lathyrus oleraceus (garden pea). RNAcentral's name for it is "Pisum sativum (pea) long non-coding RNA (PSAT_LNC019094)". The record is from RNAcentral. Lineage: Eukaryota; Viridiplantae; Streptophyta; Magnoliopsida; Fabales; Fabaceae.